Molecule: long non-coding RNA, 446 nt
Filed under: Nicotiana benthamiana
Lineage: Eukaryota; Viridiplantae; Streptophyta; Magnoliopsida; Solanales; Solanaceae
Description: long non-coding RNA (NBEN_LNC022432)
Source: RNAcentral
CUAGUUAUGCGAAGCGACAAAAAUUCACAGAAUAAUAAUACGGAAAUAGCCUAAAUACAAUCAGUAAAAGAAACAAAGAAAAAGCUAAAUUAAAACUUCAAAGCUCCAUUCUUCAUAUGUAUUCAUGCUCUCAUAUUUUAGCUUACAAUAUCGACAAGGUUACAGCCAUGUACCUGGUAUUGGAAGCAAAAGAAGAAGAAAAUCAGCAGAGUAUAUGCAACACAACAACAACAAUAACGGAAAUAGAACAAUCCAGUAACAGAGUUUAAUAAAACCAGCAUAAUUCCAGCAACAUCCCAAGGAAAAAGUUACACAUAACCAGAUAUCCAAACUCAGAAGCAAAAAAUUGACACCCCAGAAAUACCAAUCAGCAACAGCAAUGAAGCAGUAAUAGUAACAAAUACUGAUUUCAACAGUAAAGACGCAACUUUCUUUUGUUCUUUUAC